AACUAGCAAGUUCAAUUAUUUUUUUUGGCUAGUUACACAAUUAUUUUUUUGCUUGUGAUUCUAAUAAACCUCUAGAUCUAUGUAUGUGAGCUAGAGCUCUAUCCCAUUUAGCUUUUACACUAUGAGCUCUUCAUUGAUUGCAGCUUUAACUUAGCAUUACAUGACCUUUUUCUUAAAGCACAGUUGACAAAUGACAAACACUUUGCCUUAUGUCAAUUGGGGUGCAUGGUGGCUGAAAGGUCCCAGGUUCAAAUCUUGGUGAAAACUGGAUUUUUAAUUUCAGGAUUUCAAGGACACCUCUAAUCCACCAAACUCUGAUGGGUACCUGACUUCAGUUGAGGAAAGUAUAGGUGCGUGGUCAUUGUACUGGCCACAUGACAACCUGCUUGUUAACCAUCAGUCAAAGAAACAAAUGACCUUUAUACCAGUUGCCCCAUUGAUCGCA
Non-coding RNA from Biomphalaria pfeifferi, 445 nucleotides. The record is from the annotation of a GenBank genome assembly. Lineage: Eukaryota; Metazoa; Mollusca; Gastropoda; Planorbidae.